This 449-nucleotide ribosomal RNA is filed under the name uncultured bacterium. RNAcentral's name for it is "partial 16S ribosomal RNA". It matches the Rfam family "Bacterial small subunit ribosomal RNA", at positions 29 to 523 of the family's 1533-position model. The record is from RNAcentral.
AACGAACGCUGGCGGCAUGCCUAACACAUGCAAGUCGAACGAGAUCUUCGGGUCUAGUGGCGCACGGGUGCGUAACGCGUGGGAAUCUGCCCUUUGGUUCGGAAUAACAGUUGGAAACGACUGCUAAUACCGGAUGAUGACGAAAGUCCAAAGAUUUAUCGCCAGAGGAUGAGCCCGCGUAGGAUUAGCUAGUUGGUGUGGUAAAGGCGCACCAAGGCGACGAUCCUUAGCUGGUCUGAGAGGAUGAUCAGCCACACUGGGAAGGAGACACAGCCCAGACUCCUACGGGAGGCAGCAGUGGGGAAUAUUGGACAAUGGGCGAAAGCCUGAUCCAGCAAUGCCGCGUGAGUGAUGAAGGCCUUAGGGUUGUAAAGCUCUUUUACCCGGGAUGAUAAUGACAGUACCGGGAGAAUAAGCUCCGGCUAACUCCGUGCCAGCCGCCGCAGUAA